This 253-nucleotide ribosomal RNA is filed under the name uncultured bacterium. RNAcentral describes it as "partial 16S ribosomal RNA". It matches the Rfam family "Bacterial small subunit ribosomal RNA", at positions 524 to 776 of the family's 1533-position model. The record is from RNAcentral.
GACGAACCGUGCGAACGUUAUUCGGAAUCACUGGGCUUAAAGGGCGCGUAGGCGGGCCAGCAAGUCAGGGGUGAAAGCCCACGGCUCAACCGUGGAAGUGCCUCUGAUACUGCGGGCCUCGAGGGAGGUAGGGGCGUGCGGAACUUCCGGUGGAGCGGUGAAAUGCGUAGAUAUCGGAAGGAACACCAGUGGCGAAGGCGGCGACCUGGACGGACACUGACGCUGAGACGCGAAAGCGUGGGGAGCAAACAGG